Molecule: ribosomal RNA, 889 nt
Filed under: uncultured Meliniomyces
Lineage: Eukaryota; Fungi; Ascomycota; Leotiomycetes; Helotiales; Helotiaceae
Description: eukaryotic LSU rRNA
Rfam family: 5.8S ribosomal RNA (bases 550-703)
Source: RNAcentral
AAGUCGUAACAAGGUUCCCUUCUGCAGCGCAGCUCCGGAGACCUUGCACACCCCGAACGGGAGGCAGCACGACGAUAAACAAAGCUCGCCGCGUGCAAGUUGGCCGCACGGUCAGCAACACGAUCGAAUUGACGGGGACCUCCUAAAGCCUGCAACACCAACCGUCCGGGGAAACUCGGGCGGGGCCCUCACGGGGUGGUAAGAGAGUGCAGGAUGAACAAUGGACGAUCCGCAGCGAAGACCCUACCGGCGAGAGCCCACGGGUACCGUUCACAGACUAAGUGAUUGUGGGCGGGGCGUCAGGCCCCGUCUAAGAUAUAGUCGGUCUUUGUUCGAAAGGGCAGAGCCUAGCGCGUCCGUAGGUGAACCUGCGGAAGGAUCAUUAAAGAAUCGCCCCGUUUUUUGAAACGGGUUCUAUUCCCAAACCGUGUAUACAUACCUUUGUUGCUUUGGCAGGCCGCCUUUUAGGCGUCGGCUUCGGCUGACUGCGCCUGCCAGAGGACCCAAACUCGUUUGUUUAAUGAUGUCUGAGUACUAUAUAAUAGUUAAAACUUUCAACAACGGAUCUCUUGGUUCUGGCAUCGAUGAAGAACGCAGCGAAAUGCGAUAAGUAAUGUGAAUUGCAGAAUUCAGUGAAUCAUCGAAUCUUUGGACGCACAUUGCGCCCCUUGGUAUUCCGAGGGGCAUGCCUGUUCGAGCGUCAUUAUAACCACUCAAGCCUCGGCUUGGUCUUGGGGUUCGCGGUCUCGCGUCCCUUAAAAUCAGUGGCGGUGCCGUCUGGCUCUAAGCGUAGUAAUUCUCUCGCUAUAGGGUCCCGGCGGUUGCCUGCCAGAACCCCCCAUUUUUUACGGUUGACCUCGGAUCAGGUAGGGAUACCCGCUGAACUUAA